AUUAAGGGAAGAAGCGGUGUCAGGAGAGUUUGAGGAAGGGGAAAUGGUGCUGGCCUCAGCCAGAUCAGAGAAUGCAUAAUGAUUCAUGGGAGAAGAAGGAGAGCCUGCAUUAGAAACAAUAGGAGAUAUAGGCUGAGUUGGAAUGGAAGAGGGGGGGUUUCAGCAAUGUGGGACUCAGCAGUAGAAGAAGAUGGCUGAGAGGAAGCAGUGGGUGAAACAUGCUGCAGUGGAGGAAUAUUAAAAAUAGGUAUAGGAGGAGAAGCAGAAGGA
Molecule: long non-coding RNA, 270 nt
Filed under: Lathyrus oleraceus (garden pea)
Lineage: Eukaryota; Viridiplantae; Streptophyta; Magnoliopsida; Fabales; Fabaceae
Description: Pisum sativum (pea) long non-coding RNA (PSAT_LNC022936)
Source: RNAcentral